CCUACGGGAGGCAGCAGUGGGGAAUAUUGCACAAUGGGCGCAAGCCUGAUGCAGCGACGCCGCGUGAGGGAUGACGGCCUUCGGGUUGUAAACCUCUUUCAGUAGGGAAGAAGCGUAAGUGACGGUACCUGCAGAAGAAGCGCCGGCUAACUACGUGCCAGCAGCCGCGGUAAUACGUAGGGCGCAAGCGUUAUCCGGAAUUAUUGGGCGUAAAGAGCUCGUAGGCGGUUUGUCGCGUCUGCCGUGAAAGUCCGGGGCUCAACUCCGGAUCUGCGGUGGGUACGGGCAGACUAGAGUGAUGUAGGGGAGACUGGAAUUCCUGGUGUAGCGGUGAAAUGCGCAGAUAUCAGGAGGAACACCGAUGGCGAAGGCAGGUCUCUGGGCAUUAACUGACGCUGAGGAGCGAAAGCAUGGGGAGCGAACAGGAUUAGAUACCCUGGUAGUCCAUGCCGUAAACGUUGGGCACUAGGUGUGGGGGACAUUCCACGUUUUCCGCGCCGUAGCUAACGCAUUAAGUGCCCCGCCUGGGGNGGUACGGCCGCGAGACGUAAACUUAAAUAGAGUAGUACGCGNGAGACGUGCGACGACGACGACGAGGGAGGAGG
RNAcentral lists this ribosomal RNA (605 nucleotides) under uncultured bacterium. Its description in RNAcentral is "bacterial SSU rRNA". The stretch from base 1 to 525 matches the Rfam family "Bacterial small subunit ribosomal RNA", at positions 338 to 873 of the family's 1533-position model. The record is from RNAcentral.